Molecule: non-coding RNA, 752 nt
Organism: Anas platyrhynchos (mallard)
Lineage: Eukaryota; Metazoa; Chordata; Aves; Anseriformes; Anatidae
Source: RefSeq, a predicted model, not a curated record
CUCCCUUGAGGCCUAUAUAAAAUAUUUUUGUUGUCUCUGCCCCGAAGUUCUUCGGGAAGUGGAUGGAGAGGUGGCUCACGCUGGAGAACCGGGCAACUCUGCGAGGAAAAGCGGCCUGAAAAGCUCUGCCUGCAGCACUACCCGGACUCUUCUCAGCAGUAACCCGCCGGACUUGCUCUGCCUACUACAGGAGAAAUUACCAACGCCACCACAAUGCAUCAUCAUGUUCCAGAACACUCACUGCCCUGCAGAGAUACCCAGCUAGAGAGCGAGGAGCACAGCUGAGGAGACGCAGAUGUCAGCACACGCGGGACCCUGAAGGAGCCCAGGCUCUGGUACGGGGCAGCGGCCGCCCCAGUACGGGGCUGGGCACCAGUUCCUGCUCCUCAGCUGGUAGCGAGUUACAGCCGAGCGCAGUGGGGGCAUUUUUGGUUGUUACAAAGGAGUAAAAGAGACCCAGAGCAGGACCAGGAGCCUCUUGCUCCGUUCCCAUGUGCAAAACAAGCCCUGACGGCGCUUCACAUCCAUGUUCAUGGCACAGUGAGGGCAACAACUUGACAGUGGUGGCUCCCCCCCCACCCAAGCAAGAACUGCAUGCUCAGUGCUCGUUCAUAGGGAAAAAAACCAAGCAGCAGUGAGGAGCCCCCCCCUGCAGGAACUGAGGCAGGGCUGCAGGGCUGGGCAGAGCCCCGCAGGCCUCACCUGGGGCAGGACACUGCCACGGCCCUCCCUCCUGCAGCACGACCCUUCCC